This 493-nucleotide ribosomal RNA is filed under the name uncultured bacterium. Its description in RNAcentral is "partial 16S ribosomal RNA". It matches the Rfam family "Bacterial small subunit ribosomal RNA", at positions 28 to 507 of the family's 1533-position model. The record is from RNAcentral.
GAUGAACGCUAGCUACAGGCUUAACACAUGCAAGUCGAGGGGAAACGACAUCGAAAGCUUGCUUUUGAUGGGCGUCGACCGGCUCACGGGUGAGUAACGCGUAUCCAACCUGCCCAUCACUUGGGAAUAACCUUGCGAAAGUAAGACUAAUACCCAAUGAUAUCCCACGAAGAAAUCUGAAUGGGAUUAAAGAUUUAUCGGUGAUGGAUGUGGAUGCGUCGGAUUAGCUUGUUGGCGAGGUAACGGCCCACCAAGGCAACGAACAGUAGGGGUUCUGAGAGGAAGGUCACCCACAUUGGAACUGAGACACGGUCCAAAAUCCUACGGGAGGCAGCAGUGAGGAAUAUUGGUCAAUGGACGAGAGCCUGAACCAGCCAAGUAGCGUGCAGGAUGACGGCCCUAUGGGUUGUAAACUGCUUUUAUAAGGGAAUAAAGUGGGUCUCGUGAGACUUUUUUGCAUGUACCUUAUGAAUAAGGACCGGCUAAUUCCGUG